This 351-nucleotide long non-coding RNA is filed under the name Theobroma cacao (cacao). Its description in RNAcentral is "long non-coding RNA (TCAC_LNC002236)". Lineage: Eukaryota; Viridiplantae; Streptophyta; Magnoliopsida; Malvales; Malvaceae. The record is from RNAcentral.
GUUUCUCUUGGAGGUAGUCGACAAGGGUUCGGGCUUCUUCGAGAGUUAGGGAGGAGAUUUCGUUGCCGAGUUUUUCGAUUUUUUCGGGUGCUGCCGUGGCGUUGAGAGGACGGAGGAAGGUGCUGCGGUGGGUCAGGUUAGAAGGGGUGGUGGAACGGAGAGGGAAUUGGAGAGAAGGGGUUCUGAAAGAGACGGGAUGCGUAGGAUGAGAGGAAGUGGGUGGAGGAUACGAGGGGGAACGGAGAGAAAGUGUGGAGAGAGUGGAAGAAGCCAUUUUUCUUUCCUUUCCCUGCUUGGAGUGAGAGAGUGACGACUGAAGACCUCCCCUCAGGAUAGGAUAAGGAAGGUAAG